Acanthopagrus latus (yellowfin seabream) is the source of this 2583-nucleotide long non-coding RNA. RefSeq lists it as uncharacterized. NCBI's taxonomy places the organism in Eukaryota, Metazoa, Chordata, Actinopteri, Spariformes, Sparidae. The record is from RefSeq and is a predicted model, not a curated record. The transcript is spliced from 2 exons.
UACAUUGCAUUAGAUUAAUAAAUCAAUUUUAUAAUACAUAGAAGAUGACAAAUAUCAACAACAAUCUGUGUCACCUCUUCAUACAAGUAUAACAUGUAGCGUAAUUACAAGGUGAAAUAUUCUCAUAAUACUGGUUAUUUGACACAAAUGUUGAAAAAAUAUUAAAUUGUAUUAUUAUAUUUGAUAUACAUACAAAUGUAUUUCUGUUGCAUAAUGGACUAAUAAUCAUAAUGAGUAACAACACAGUCAUUCAUAAGCCACUACUGUGGCUGGCUGGCAAUUGGCUCGCGCUUGCCUCCUGCUGACAGACAUAUUUAGUGGAAUCCAAAAUGACUCAGAACCACACUUGAAUGUUAAUAUAUAAUACGGAAUGGAUACGAAAAUGUUUUGUUUUGGUUUUGUCUGGUUUAGACAUGUUGUGACAGUUCAGUACGGGUCUGUCACGUGUAUCAUCUGAUCAUUAAAUGAUUCCAUUUAAUUUGAAAAAAGAAAAAUUAAAAAACGAGUCAGUAUUUCGUUUUUCUGUAUGGACCAAACGGAUGUUUAUUUUCCUACUUUCAGCCCAAAACGGAAAAUAUAAUAAACAAGGAAACCAAAAUGAAAUAAUGAAUCUAAUUUCCAUUUUCCGUUAUUGUUAUACCAUAUCUCAUGGUACAUUUCUGCUGUGUGGCCACGCUAUGUGCAUGCGCAUGUAUGGUCCAGUCCCAGUAGAUCGCUGGAGUCCCACGUUCUCAUGGCCUCACUCGAGCCGUACAUGUCUCUAAUUAAUGACAUGUUUAUGAAUGGAGUGACAUAUCAUGAGAUCUCAGAAAAGUUGCAAGAAAUGGGUGUCCAGCGGGGAGGCUCUGAAAUCAGUAUCUGGAGACUACUUGCCCAACAUAACAUGCAGAGAAAAGGACACACUUCAGACUCAGACCUUGAAAUUUCAGUCUCUCAUGCAGUAAAUGAGGUAAGACUAUUUAGUAUUUACAAACAACAGGAAAAAAAACAUGUACUAUUUGCUGUAGCAUGUAGACAAUCGAGUGUGUGUGUGUGUGUGUGUGUGUGUGUGUGUGUGUGUGUGUGUGUGUGUGUGUGUGUGUGUGUGUGUUUUUUUUUUUUUUAACAGACUGGAUCUACUUAUGGCCGUAAAUGAUGACUUACCAUGAAGAACGGCAUCAAGUAUGUCAUUAAGUGGUCCUAAAUGUUUAAAUUUUAGGGUUGUGUAUGCCAUUUACAGUAAAGUUAUUGAUUCUUGUGGAGUAUAUGGGACACAAAUUGCACAUGGACCAAAAUGAAAAGCUGGUUAUGUUUGAAGUGACUCACAUGAUUGCUGUAGAUGGCUAUUGCAAGAAAAUUGUUGCAAAUGCAACUAUGCCAGUAAAAAACAACCUAGCCAUCUACGAAGAAGUGUACAGGUCAGUGCUUUAUGUUCUGUUUGACAGAAAAUAUUUGAAUCAAUUUUAACCAUACCAAUAAUAAAGUGUUUCAUACUUGUUCAUAUAGACCUGCAAUUACAUUUUAUGGAAUGUGGGCUCAACUUCAUGUGGCUCAUGGAAAAGAGUUUUACCUCUGCCUUUACGUGCAAGAGAGGCUGUCAGAAUAUAGACACAACCAGCAAAGAGAGCCAUACCUCCAAACUCAGUCAACAAGGGUAAUGUUAACCAUCUGCAAGCCAUCCACCUACAUUACACCAGUGGUGAAAAGUAACCAAGUAUAUUAACUCAGGUCAAGGAAGGAAGGAAGGACAGAUGAAGGAAGGAGGAAAGAGGGACAGAAGGGAAGAAAGAAAGAGGAUGGAGGGAGGACAGAAGGAAGGAAUGGAGGAAAGAAGGAACAGUCAAUACAGAUGGGGUCAAUUUUACCCGGGAAGACAAUAUGAAGGUUAUGUACUGCACUUGAGUACAAGUUUGAGGUACCUACUUUAUUUGAGUAUAUCCAUUUUCUGCUAUCUUAUUCUUCUAUUCACUACAUAAUGAGUAAUUACAAUUUAAUAAUGUCAUAAUAUAUUAUAUCAGUCAUAUUUAGUUUUUUUUUGGUGCAUUAUCAGUCAUGAUUAGGUUGUUUUUUUUUGUGUACCACCAGGCCAGAAAAAAAUUCUAACACUAACUUUUCUCUAGUUCACUAUGUUACUAUGUUAACAGACCUCUGCCCACCUUUUCCUUUUUUUUUGUUUUAACAGAAUCACGCAGUGGAAAGGAUGUGGCCAGAAAUCAAUAAUCGAGUGAAGUACCCACUAAAGGAGGCCCUGGCACAGCCUGACAAGGUUCUGCACAUGCAAUCUGACCUGCCAGAUGAGCCAGAUUGGUAUAAAUGGAUUUGUGCAAUCAUGGAAUGCUCACAGGAUCCCAGGGAAAGGGAUACCAAAUCACCUGGCAGGGACUGGAACACCGACAAAGAUCACAACAGAUCUUCUACCAGAUGCCAUAGCUGCAGCUUACAUGUACGACAGCGACAUGGGAUCAUACCUCACCAGAAUAUCUUCAUUUGGAUGUAACCUACAUGUCUGGAGAUCUUUAACUUCUGUUUAAGUAGGCAUAGUGGAACUAUGGACUAAAAAUAAGCUGUCUUUUUGUUUACAUUAAAACAAUCAAUGCCACUCCA